UACGUAGGGUGCAAGCGUUGUCCGGAAUUACUGGACGUAAAGCGCACGUAGGCGGAAUGUUAAGUCAGGGGUGAAAUCCCGGGGCUCAACCCCGGAACUGCCUUUGAUACUGGCAUUCUCGAGUCCGGAAGAGGUGAGUGGAAUUCCGAGUGUAGAGGUGAAAUUCGUAGAUAUUCGGAGGAACACCAGUGGCGAAGGCGGCUCACUGGUCCGGUACUGACGCUGAGGUGCGAAAGCGUGGGGAGCAAACAGG
This 253-nucleotide ribosomal RNA is filed under the name uncultured bacterium. RNAcentral's name for it is "partial 16S ribosomal RNA". It matches the Rfam family "Bacterial small subunit ribosomal RNA", at positions 524 to 776 of the family's 1533-position model. The record is from RNAcentral.